GGAAUAGAAUAGCUAGCGGUGACAUCUGUCACCCCAUUGAUCGGCAGGGUUGGUUGGGCUGGUCUGGCUGGCUCAGCAGGUGUUCCCUGCCUCCCUCUCUGCUCCACGUGCAUCCCUCCUGAAGUUAUGCCCUCGGUUGAAGAGGACAACCUUCCCCAAUAUAAGGAGGACUGUCCUUGGGUCAAGGGUAACAAGCAGCUAGGCUUCCCUGUUAGAAUCUCCAAACGAGCUCUCAAAGUCCAUAAAUAAAAUAAAUAACCACACUGAUACAAAUAAAUAACAAACACAUAAAUAACGAGGGAGAAAAAGACAGCUCUUU
Unclassified non-coding RNA from Echinops telfairi (small Madagascar hedgehog), 319 nucleotides. Its record names the gene 7SK. It matches the Rfam family "7SK RNA". From Rfam's summary of the family: 7SK was discovered as an abundant small nuclear RNA in the mid-70s but a possible function has only recently been suggested. NCBI's taxonomy places the organism in Eukaryota, Metazoa, Chordata, Mammalia, Afrosoricida, Tenrecidae. The record is from Ensembl.